GCGUUGUAGCUCAAUGGCAGAGCAGUUCCGCGACCGGAAAAAGAAAUGAGUUCAAUUCUCAUCAACUGCG
Molecule: transfer RNA, 70 nt
Filed under: Chitinophaga agrisoli
Lineage: Bacteria; Pseudomonadati; Bacteroidota; Chitinophagia; Chitinophagales; Chitinophagaceae
Description: Chitinophaga sp. BN140078 tRNA-Ser
Rfam family: tRNA
About the family: Transfer RNA (tRNA) molecules are approximately 80 nucleotides in length.
Source: RNAcentral